CGCUAGCGGCGGAUGGGUGAGUAACACGUGGGCAAUCUGCCCUAAAGACUGGGAUACCACUUGGAAACAGGUGCUAAUACCGGAUAACAACAUGAAUCGCAUGAUUCAAGUUUGAAAGGCGGCGUAAGCUGUCACUUUAGGAUGAGCCCGCGGCGCAUUAGCUAGUUGGUGGGGUAAAGGCCUACCAAGGCAAUGAUGCGUAGCCGAGUUGAGAGACUGAUCGGCCACAUUGGGACUGAGACACGGCCCAAACUCCUACGGGAGGCAGCAGUAGGGAAUCUUCCACAAUGGACGCAAGUCUGAUGGAGCAACGCCGCGUGAGUGAAGAAGGUUUUCGGAUCGUAAAGCUCUGUUGUUGGUGAAGAAGGAUAGAGGCAGUAACUGGUCUUUAUUUGACGGUAAUCAACCAGAAAGUCACGGCUAACUACGUGCCAGCAGCCGCGGUAAUACGUAGGUGGCAAGCGUUGUCCGGAUUUAUUGGGCGUAAAGCGAGCGCAGGCGGAAUGAUAAGUCUGAUGUGAAAGCCCACGGCUCAACCGUGGAACUGCAUCGGAAACUGUCAUUCUUGAGUGCAGAAGAGGAGAGUGGAAUUCCAUGUGUAGCGGUGGAAUGCGUAGAUAUAUGGAAGAACACCAGUGGCGAAGGCGGCUCUCUGGUCUGCAACUGACGCUGAGGCUCGAAAGCAUGGGUAGCGAACAGGAUUAGAUACCCUGGUAGUCCAUGCCGUAAACGAUGAGCGCUAGGUGUUGGGGACUUUCCGGUCCUCAGUGCCGCAGCAAACGCAUUAAGCGCUCCGCCUGGGGAGUACGACCGCAAGGUUGAAACUCAAAGGAAUUGACGGGGGCCCGCACAAGCGGUGGAGCAUGUGGUUUAAUUCGAAGCAACGCGAAGAACCUUACCAGGUCUUGACAUCCUGCGCUACACCUAGAGAUAGGUGGUUCCCUUCGGGGACGCAGAGACAGGUGGUGCAUGGCUGUCGUCAGC
Molecule: ribosomal RNA, 984 nt
Filed under: Lactobacillus delbrueckii subsp. bulgaricus
Lineage: Bacteria; Bacillati; Bacillota; Bacilli; Lactobacillales; Lactobacillaceae
Description: bacterial SSU rRNA
Rfam family: Bacterial small subunit ribosomal RNA
Source: RNAcentral